RNAcentral lists this ribosomal RNA (256 nucleotides) under uncultured bacterium. RNAcentral's name for it is "partial 16S ribosomal RNA". It matches the Rfam family "Bacterial small subunit ribosomal RNA", at positions 524 to 776 of the family's 1533-position model. The record is from RNAcentral.
UACGAAGGGGGGCUAGCGUUGUUCGGAAUUACUGGGCGUAAAGCGCGCGCAGGCGGUCUUCCAAGUCAGUGGUGAAAAGCCUGGAGCUCAACUCCAGAACUGCCAUUGAAACUGUUAGACUUGAGUACGAGAGAGGUGAGUGGAAUUCCCAGUGUAGAGGUGAAAUUCGUAGAUAUUGGGAAAGAACACCAGUGGCGAAGGCGGCUCACUGGCUCGUAACUGACGCUCAGGCGCGACAGCGUGGGGAUCAAACAGG